Non-coding RNA from Cinara cedri, 423 nucleotides. NCBI's taxonomy places the organism in Eukaryota, Metazoa, Arthropoda, Insecta, Hemiptera, Aphididae. The record is from the annotation of a GenBank genome assembly.
CGAUGUACUCUCAAGCAUAAUGUCAGACUAGAGCGCAUACAAGUAUAUUAUAGGUAUGGCCCGGACAGAUGUUUACUAAAAGUAUACGUAUAUACGCGUCUACCGCCUAUAUAUAAUACUAUAAUCGAUUAUUUCAAACAGGAAGCGAAAUUAAUAGACCCGGACGUUUACUAUUAUAUAAUACGAGCAAACAUUUUAACGGAUAUUUGUAAAUUUUAUCUCAAAACCCAAUUAUGCGGGAUUCUCCCGAAAGUUAUAAGGAGUUCGAGAGGGUUAAGUAAUUCAUCGGGUCUGUUUUACGAGCAAAAUCGAUACAAUUUAGAGGUACCACCGAAAAUCCGCGACGCACAAGGAAUGUCGUAUGGCCUUCGGUGCAUCGAAUUUGAUGCAACUAUAAUACAAUGCAAUGAAUUUCACAUAUGU